Molecule: long non-coding RNA, 683 nt
Filed under: Bos mutus (wild yak)
Lineage: Eukaryota; Metazoa; Chordata; Mammalia; Artiodactyla; Bovidae
Description: lncRNA (ENSBMUG00000026377.1)
Source: RNAcentral
GCAUGGAGGGAAAUAGCGCUGACUGUUUCCUCAGGCCGGUGCACAUCAAGGGCAGUGUCUGGCCCCCAGUUCUCUACCCCUCUACCUGGUCAGAGUGGGCAUGACUAUCCUGCCUGGGUGCUGGCUCCACCCUGCCAGCUGGGGCACCUGUGGGAGAAGCUGGGGUGCUGUCUCCUGCUCUGGAUGGGUCCACCUACACAGCCGCGGGUUUAUCAAGGUAACAGUUGUAUCUUCAACUUGGGGAAAUGACUCUCACAACUUCAAACAGUGCAGAGGAGCAGAGCAUGGACCAGCAGCUGGGGCCCGUGUCCCCUCUUCCAGCCUCAGGCUUUGUGCCCCGGGGGCCCCACUGUAGCCCUGACAGGCCCUUGGUCACGUGUGAAUGGACAGUGCAGGCGUGGGCCGAUUCUAUCGCUAUGGACAGCUCCGUGGGCAGCGCUGACCACAGCACCCGCCUCGGCUGCCCAGAACGCUCCCUCGAGGCUUGAGCCACACCAGCCCUCCCUGUGCCAGAGAUCCGGACCCAUCCUCACCCAGCUUCUUGCAGCAGAAGAGAGGAGAAUGACACCAUGCAGGAGAUGACCACAGGGACACAGGGUCAAGGAGCUGGACCCCAGCUUUCAAGGUGCAGCACAUGAGCCCAGAGGUCAGUGUCUGAAAGUCUUGCCUCUGCCCCAUGCCUG